GGCUCCAUAGUGUAGUGGUUAGCAUGUCUGCUUUACAUGCAGAGGGUCCUGGGUUCAUGCCCCAGGUGGAGCCA
Molecule: non-coding RNA, 74 nt
Organism: Pteropus alecto (black flying fox)
Lineage: Eukaryota; Metazoa; Chordata; Mammalia; Chiroptera; Pteropodidae
Source: Rfam